GACGAACGCUGGCGGCGUGCUUAACACAUGCAAGUCGAACGGAAAGGCCCUGCUUUUGUGGGGUGCUCGCGUGGCGAACGGGUGAGUAACCCAUGAGUCUCCUUCCCUUGACUUUGGGAUAACUUCAGGAAACUGCGGCUAAUACCGACUAGGAGCUCCUGCUGCAUGGUGGGGGUUGGACAGUAUCGGAGGUUGGGGAUGGACUCCCGGCUUAUCAGCUUGUUGGUGGGGUAGUGGCUUACCAAGGCUUUGACGGGUAGCCGGCCUGGGAGGGUGACCGGCCACAUUGGGACUGAGAUACGGACCAGACGCCAACGUGAGGCAGCAGUGGGGAAUAUUGCACAAUGGGCGGAAGCCUGAGGCAGCAACGCCGCGUGCGGGAUGACGGCCAUCGGGGGGUAAACCGCUGUCGGCUGUGACGAAGCGUGAGUGACGGUAAUGGGUAAAGAAGCACCGGCUAACUACGUG
Molecule: ribosomal RNA, 468 nt
Filed under: uncultured bacterium
Lineage: Bacteria
Description: partial 16S ribosomal RNA
Rfam family: Bacterial small subunit ribosomal RNA
Source: RNAcentral